RNAcentral lists this long non-coding RNA (526 nucleotides) under Brassica napus (rape). RNAcentral describes it as "long non-coding RNA (BNAP_LNC016370)". The record is from RNAcentral. Lineage: Eukaryota; Viridiplantae; Streptophyta; Magnoliopsida; Brassicales; Brassicaceae.
UAGAGUUUGCAACCACUGGACUGGCAUGCUUUCUCAAUUCAAAAAUAUAAAUCUUUCUCAAUACCAUUGCUAUUUUAGUGAUCCCACACAAAAACAACACAAGCAGAUAACCUAACACAUAGUACUUAACCAAUAUAUUCAACAUGUAGACAUUGUAUGGUGAUUUAAAUGGUUCUUGGUUACUUAUUCAUAUUGUCAAAGGCAUCAACUUUCAUGCCUUCAAAAGCUAAUUUUUUAAUACUCUGCGAUCAUAAUACAUCUCUAGCCAUUCUACCUAUGUCAUGCGAUUCUACACCAUGACAAGAGCCAUUUCUUGAUCAAUAGCCACUAACCAUAUCAAAUUACAAAAUUACAAAAACAAACUAUAAAUUACUAAGUUUCAGAGAGCAAUAGAACGUACCAAAAAUACACAAGCAAAAUAAAUUAUCAAAACUUACCUUAGAAGCAUAUUUUCGAGAGUGUAUUCCCAAAACGAAAGUACAAUCUCCUUUCAAACUGUUCCUUCACUUCCCCACAAACUGAACAA